Molecule: ribosomal RNA, 454 nt
Filed under: uncultured bacterium
Lineage: Bacteria
Description: partial 16S ribosomal RNA
Rfam family: Bacterial small subunit ribosomal RNA
Source: RNAcentral
GAUGAACGCUGACAGCAUGCUUAACACAUGCAAGUCUACUUGAACUUCGGUGUGUGUGGCGGACGGGUGAGUAACGCGUAAAGAACUUGCCUCACAGUUAGGGACAACAUUUGGAAACGAAUGCUAAUACCUGAGAUUAUGAUUUUAGGGCAGACUAGUUGUAUGAAAGCUAUAGGUGCUGUGAGGGAGCUUUGCGUCCAAUUAGCGAGUUGGAGAGGUAACGGCUCACAAAGGCGAUGAUGGGUAGCCGGCCUGAGAGGGUGAACGGCCACAAGGGGCCGGGGUAAGGGCCAUUACCCUAACGGGAGGAAGCAGGGGGGAAUUUUGGACAAUGGACCAAAAGUGUGAUACAGACAUUGUGUGUGGAAGAUGACGUUUUUCGGAAUGUAAAGUGCUUUCAGUUGGGAAGAAAAAAAUGACGGUACCAACAGAAGAAGUGACGGCUAAAUACGUG